This is a long non-coding RNA of Myotis myotis, 2087 nucleotides long. RefSeq lists it as uncharacterized. The record is from RefSeq and is a predicted model, not a curated record. NCBI's taxonomy places the organism in Eukaryota, Metazoa, Chordata, Mammalia, Chiroptera, Vespertilionidae. The transcript has 6 exons.
GCGGCCCCGGCCCGCCCCCCCGCCGCCUCCCCGGGGGGACACGCGCGUGUGUGCCCGCCGGCCGUGCCCGCCGCGGCCCGGAGCCCGUCGCUGCCACCCGGCGCGAACCAGACCCUCGGGGUGGCACGGAGGAUGCGGAAAACAAGGGCCAGGCUGACAAUCGCAACGGAUUCUCAGACCUCUGAAAUCUGCCUCUGCCUGGCAGGCCCCCGUCAUCACUGGCCUGAAUCAGGGCAGGGCCUCAGCUUGUCUCUGAACUGCCAUCCUCGCCCCCUAGAGUCCACCCUUUCUGCUGUGGCUAGAGGGCGCCUGUGAGCCCCUGAGUUAGGUCAGUCCCUCGUCUGCCCAAGGCCUUCCAGGCGCCCACUUCCCCCCAGACUGUGCGCCCCAGGAGGGCUGGGUUUUUGUCUGUGGAGUUCACGGCGGUGUCCCCAGGACCUAGAAAAGUGCUUGGCACACAGCCCCAGGAGGAAGGAGUAUUUACAGAUGGGGAAACUGAGGCCCAGAGAGGGAUGCCACUUGCCUGAGGUCACCUGGGCUGCCAACAGGACCUUUCUCAGCAAGGCCUGUGUGCAACAGGCCCUCAGUAGUGGAACCUUAACCUGGGUGUGGGCCCUGCUCGAACACCGUUUUAAUUCUGCCAGCUGGCUUCAUCCUUGCUGGUUGAACUCAUUCUACACCUGUGGAAACUGAGGCACGGGGGAAGGCGAAGUGAACGCCCUGUCCACGGGGCAGGCGAUGCUGCUCACAGGAUGCCCAGGCAGCAGGUUCUCACAGCCACAUAGCCCCACCAUCUGCUCCCAAACACCGCGAACCACACGGGCGCUCCCAUCCAACUGGCUGCCCCAAGACCGCCUCAGCCAGAGACACUAAAACCCACCUCCUUCCCCCUCUGAAGGCAUCUUUUCUGGAAUAUUCUGCUCAGUCACCAAUGUCUGAGGACAGGCUUAUUCAACUCUGACCUGAACUUUCUGGAUCCCCGACUCUGAGAAUUCUAGAACUUGCCCCCCUGGAUGUUCUAGAAACCAGCUCAAGACAAUCCCAGAGUCCGACCUUGGGCGCACAAAAACUCAGCGUAAGGAAUUCUGCAACCGGCCAUCAAUGGUCCAGAACACACUGGAGGAUUUCGUGGAUAUUAGUAAGACCAAUACUGGAUGAGACCACUGGUGACGGAUCUGGGAGCUUUAGAAUCUGUCCCCAUAGUCUCGAGAACCCUGCUUGGGAGAUGUGAGAGCUGUUCCCAGCUGCUGUGAAGAUUCUCCAUGAAGAAUGCUAGAACCCACCCCAGGAGGGUCUAGAACCCAACUCACAAAACUCUGAAGCUCGGCCGUGGGUAAGCAAAAAUUCUGGACUUUGCUUCUGGACACCCAGAAAUCCAACUGAGGAAAUUCUGGACCCUGCUCCUGGAUGGCCAAGAAUACACUUGAGGAAUUCUAGAUCAAGGAACCAGCUUUCGGGAUUCUGGCACCGUUUCUUGGGUGGAAAAAUAACCUAACUUCGAAGAACUCCAAGGCUCCCCCCCCCCCCCCAUAGCACAGUGGUUCUCACUGGGGUGAUGCUGCUCCCCAAGGACCCGGGGUGACGUCUGGAGAUAUUUUUGGUGGUUAGUGUCGGAGGAUGCUCCUGACAUCAAGCUAGGAAUGCUGCUUACCCCCCACCCCCACAGUGCCCAGGACAGCCCCCCACGGGGUCCGCAGUGUGACGAGGGAAAGCCCCAGGUGAGACCUUCUAGAACCCCCUCCUUGCAUUCUCAUAACGUGGGAGCUCUGAGAUCUGCCUGGGAAUACUCUAGAAUUCAGAUGUUCUAGAGCUGAGCUGCCCAACACGCCAUACGUCAGACUGAAUGCCUGAAAUGUGCCAGCUGGAAUGGAAAUGUGAGCGUGGAACACAUGUCGAAUUUCACAGGCUCGGGACAAAAAAAGAAUGUAAAACAUCUCAGUAACUGCUUCACAUCGAUUAUGUGUCAAAACGACAUGAUUUUGGAUGUCCUGGGUUAAAUAGAAGAAAUUGUGAAAAUUAAUUUCCCCUGUAGGUUGACACCUGUAAGUAUUAGAUACCAAGAAAAUGUUUAAUUAUGUGGUCCAUAA